This 10379-nucleotide long non-coding RNA is filed under the name Homo sapiens (human). RNAcentral describes it as "PREDICTED lncRNA (TCONS_00229629)". Lineage: Eukaryota; Metazoa; Chordata; Mammalia; Primates; Hominidae. The record is from RNAcentral.
CUCUGCGCCCGCGGCGGGGCAGCGAGAUAGAGCCGGCUAGAGCGUCAGGCUUUCGCGUUGACGAUUGGCUGUGACGUCAUAAUUAAUUGCGAACCGUGUCUCGGGAGCGUUAGAGAUGGAGACUAACGUCUUCCAAGGGAGAUUGCGUCUCCACUUUCACCCUGGUACUGAGAGGUUGAGCACAAAAUUGGAACGCAGUCGCGGGGUAUAUCCCCCUGAAAACCAUUGGCCUGGGGUACAUCAUCUAAAGAUCCUAGGAUUGCUGCAGGUCAGCAGUCUCCACUGGAAAAAAAGAUCUUGCAUGUAUUUCAAGUCCUCUGAUGAAUCAUGUGAUCUACUAGACCCUGAAGAUACAGUGAAGAGCAAAAGAACACAGAUGAAAUGAGAAACAAAAACGAUGGAGAAAACCAAAAAAGGGGACACAUGGGAUCCAGGCAAUAGGAGAGCCAGCAUAAGAGAGAGCCAGAGGGAUGCCCAGGAUGAGGUGAAGACGAUCUUGGAAAUCAGCCCAGAUGUGCAUGCACCAGUCCACGUGUGGCAGGACCAAGGGAAGUGUCUUCACAAAGAUGAGGCUUUGAUUUGUUGGAGAAACUGUUACCAGAAAAACAGGUCCCGAUCCCGACCCCAAAAGAGUAUUCUUGGAUCUUGCACAGGAAGGAAUUAAAGGUGAGUCACAGAGUGCAGUGAGAAGGAGAUAGUUUAUUGAAAGUUACUCAGAUACAGAGUAGGUGUCCUCAGAAAGCAAAAGGAAGAAUGCACCAUCUUUGUUGUAAACUCUUCUAAUGUAGGGGUUUAAUCUACAUAAAAGCUAAGUUAAAUGUCUAUGUGUGGGUGCUCUGACAGCAUGACAAAAUUUAGGACCUAUUGAUUUAAAGAAAGUUAUCCUUGGCAUUUUAGUUAGUAUAUCAAAGCAUGACUAUAAUAAUCUUAAAAGCAUAUAUUAUAAUGUGACGUCAGGACAUGUGGACAUUCUGUUGUCUGUCAUAGGCGUUUGUUCUUGCAGGCAUUAUUAAGUUGUUUAAUCAGCUGUAAACCUCUUAUGACCAUGGGUUGUGACUGGCAAGGAAUAUGCCUUGCUAGUUGAAAGAUGGAGUUGACUUUAAAAUGGUGUCACCCUGGCUCUCCUAUGCUUCUGUUUCCCCAAAAAAGCCAGGUUACUUGUCCUGUAGAAUGAUCCACAUUCUGAGUUUGGCUAAUGACAUUCUCAUGGUAUUAACUUGUUUCUUUAUAUGUUGUUUUUUCUGUUACCCACAAAAUAAUUCUUCUGAUACACAUUUGUAAUCUUACCAUGCCAGCAUCUGCUACUCUUCAUGUUACCAAAUUUCUGUUCAAGGACCACUAAAGCCACAGUCAGUGGACAUUCUGAGACCUCUAGGGGAGGGUGGAGAUGCUGUCCUUUAAUAUAGUCUGACCCAAGCAACCUCCCCACUUGGCAUGGUGAAUCUAGACAAGCUAAAGAAUUUACUACGCCCCAGGCCUGCACCAGCCCUCUCCUAAGACCUUGGGCACUCUCAUUUCCCUUUUUUUUUUUUCUAAAGGAAGUCAUAGUUUCUCAUAACCUUUGCUAGUGAUCCUGGACCUUGGUUGUUCCCUGAGGCUGUGUUCUCCACACUGCUGCCAUCACUGCUACAGCAGAGGUGCAGAAAGCUCAGGAGAGAGAAGGGAGGAAAAGCUGAAGAUUUUGUGUUAUUCAUGCUUUCCUGACUCCGGCGAAAGUGCUUCCUCCACCUGCAACCAUUUCUGUUUCUAUACUGCUGAGUCUUGUGUUCCCAAGACCAAGGGAAGCCCAUUUUCUUUAAAGCCAGUCACAGUUUCUGUUGGCUGAUGGAAUAUCUGUUGUCCAGCAGUUGUAUUCCUGCUCACAAAUGCAAAACAGUUUGAUGCCACGCACAUUCCAGGGCUUAGACUGGAAAUGCUGUCCCUUGCCCCUUUGUUACCUUCUGACAGGGAUCAGUCCAUAGUGUAGUUGGUGUCACAACAGUCCCGAAGAAGCCUUCCAAUAGAUACCCAAAUGUGAUUCAAAGUGGCACAGGCACACACCACGGUGCCACAUGGUGCCUAUGUAAAGCAGGUAUAUCAGGAAUGCUAAGCAGAGAAGUAGCAGAACACACUGAUCCCCAUGUUCUCAUUGUACAGUUGGGUGCAAUUAAGCUGGCACAAUGGACUCUUCUCAUGGCUACUGUUCCAGUAGUGUGGAUGCCCCCAAAUGCUGCAUAUUUACUAGGACAGCCAGGCAGAGACAGCUGUGUACUAUGAUACAACAGUAGUCCCUCUUAGAGGAAGUGACCUUGUUAGAAGUGGGAGUUUCUGAAGCUCUUCAGCUGUUACUGGCCUGCUCUUCCAUAGCGUUACUUCAGACCUGCUGGCCCAGCUAUCCACUCCGCUAACAGGUCUGUCUCUGCUAACAGGUCUAGCUCUGUCUCCUCAGCACAUGUUCUAGGCUCUGACUGCAAGUGCUGACUUGGGCUCCCAGCCCCACACAGACCCUCUGUUCCAUGAAAGGGCCAUCUAUGCAAAGUGCCCCCCAAAUGCCAAAGGAGCCAAUAAACCAAGGAACAAGACAGACAAAUCUAGUUGUCAGUAAAGAGUGUUUUAUUGGGGAACUUACAGACAGAAGCGUGGUCUUGGAUGGCAGGAAGACAGGUAGGUUUCUGCACUUAUUACCCCCACACCCAGGGCUUAUAUACCACAGGGGAAGAGUAUACAUGCUCUGUGCAAGACAAAGGCUACUACUGUCCAGAACAGGUAAGAAUGCUAAUGUGUCAUAGCCUAGAAUUUGUAUAACAUCAAGGUUGACAUGUUCUUACAAUAGGGAUGGUAAAUAAAGUGGGAAUCAGGAGUCAGUCCUGGGACUGGGGCUAAUCAGAAGUCAGCAUAGAGAAUUAGCAUCCAAGAGGGAGUCACUUUUCUCUCCACAUCCCAGCCCUCUAAUCCAGCUCUUACAAUCUCAUGGACUCACAUUUCCCCCAUAGUCCCUGAGCCUUCAGAGAGGGCUGUGGGUGACAUUUUGAUGGUGUGAGUGACACAUUUUAUCAAUUUGUUUUCUACUUGUUAAGCAGGGGCCACAGCAACAACACAAACAACAGGCGAUGAUAUGUAUGCCAGGUGUAAGACACAGAAUUAAAAAUGCCCUUUACCAUGUUUAUUCAGGAACCAAACCAAGAGGUAUAGAGCAGAACAACAAUAGGAACAGAAGACUAUGGGUGGAAUUAAAAAUGUUUAGUAGGUAUUUGGUGGGGCAGUUCUUCCCCAUUAAACAGAAUUACUGGUAGCUCCAUCUCUGUUGAUUAGGAACAUAGGAUUGUGGGCUGGGAGUACACACCAAACAUGUUGCCUGAGGGGCAAAGGCGCUGGUAUUAUGUGUAAGGUUACAGGGGCAGCAAAGGACCAUGUCAAAUGGCCAGCCAGGGUGCUUCUUAAAAGGGACUGUGUUCCAGUUUAUUGGUAUGUGGAGUGUUUUGGCCCAGACUUCAGCAGGAUCAAUGGAGACCACUUUAGUUGGUAGGGAAUUCCUUGCUGUCUGGAAAGAAAUGCUCUAUCCAACAUAGGGGAAGUUGCUAGUCCAACCCCCAUUCAAGUGUCUCCUCCCUGGCUCAAGAUCUUGAGGAGUUCUAAAUAACCUUUGCCAUUGGCCUUUUAUCUGCUCAGGUCAGAGAUGCAUCUGGUUGGACUUUCUUUACUAUUAUGGUUAAUGGAUCCAUCUCUGUGGUGGUCCUGAGUCAUUGGUGUGGUGCCAGCACCAUAUUUGUCUCAACUAAAUUAAGGUUUCUAAUGGCUUGAGGCAAAAUCUUUGUCUAACUAUGAAAGAUAUUGGAUUUUGAGAGUGCUCAAAACUGUGCCUUCAAAAUACCAUUUUUCCUUUCAAUCAACCCUGUUGCUUGGGGGAGUAUACAGUAAGUGAAAUACCCAGUCUAUGUCCCUUUCAUGCAUCCAGUCUUGGACACCGUGUCUGGUGAAAUGCAUGCCUCGAUUGCUAUCAAUAUGUGGAGGGUAUCCUUACAUGACACUGAGUUGCUCCAAGCCCCUGAUGGUGGCUGUUUGGUUUGCUCUUACAAGGGAAAGCUUGCAACAAUCCCAUGGCAGUGUAUACACAUGUUAGUGCAUACUUUCGUCUCAAGAUUACUGGCAAGGGUCUGAUGUAGUCUAUCUACCAGUCUGUCACAGGGGUGGCUGUCUUAUGUAUAUGUCCAGGUGUAUGUGGGAUGUGGCAGAGGUACAGACGGGAACAAAUUAAGCAGUUUGCUACCGCCACCACUAAAUCUGCAUAGCAGAGAGCCAAUCCUGCUCCCUUUGCUAUUUGGCAGCCCAUUCAUGCACUGAAAUCCCCACUGUGAUAUGUACCUAAUCAACUAGCUCAGUAUUCUAAUUUUUGCUAGGAUGUCUGCCUCCAUGUUUCUGGGAGGUGAAUCUGACCAGUGUGCUGAAGCAAUUAGGUCCACAGUGGGUUCCUGUAGACUUUUCCAAAUGUCUUUCCACAUAUCAGCUCCCCAUAAGGAUUUUUAAAUUAUAUACCAAUCAUCUCAGGCCCUUUGGGCAAGCCAAAUUGUAAGACCCUUAAGUACUGCCAGACUGUCUGUACAGAGAACUAUAGGUGGUGGCUCACGGGUACAAACCAACCAUGUAGCUUGGAGUUCUGCCCAUUGACUGCUCUGUUGCAUUCCCAUCUCAAACCAGAUACUGUCUGUGGUUGUGCAGCUACUACUGUCCAUACACAGGGUUACCUUGGCUCAAUGCAUCUAAGUACCAAGCAUUAUCAGGAAUGAGGGCCAUGCCUUCAUGUACCAUUGGAGACAUCUCCUGUGAGGGCUCCACAAUAGGGGCAGCACUGGACUCAUAAUGUACUGGCCCUAAGAUAGCAUGCAGUUCAUCUCUUAAGGGAUGCAUGGAGAAGGCACUAUGUUGUUGCAUGUAUGCAUGGCACUUUUGUAAAGUGGAAACUUGGGCAAUAGCUGAUACAGGCCUGGCAAACACUCCUACCCAGUCCUUGAUAGGAAACCUGUUCUCCCUGGUACCAGGAAAGCAGCAGUUAUGGAUUCAACUUGUGGCAAGACCUUCUAUAUCCCCAGGACCUGUUAUUCAACUGGGAAAUAGCAGGUUUCAGUACCCUUCCAUUAAUUGUGACUAAAAUUCUAAAGGAACUGCUUCCCUAUGCUGGACUUUAUAUUUUCAUCAUCCAAAAUUAUAGUUUAGUUUUACCUUUAAAAAUAUGUUUUUUGUUCUCAUUUGUUCCAUAGGUUUCUCCUUGAAAUUUAUAUUGUAUGGUAAGGUUUCCUAUUGUUUGCAUUUUGUGGAUUGCACGCCAAGGUGUGGUUUAAUGUAUUUCUAUUACCUGUAUUUUCUGUAAAUUGGUAGUUUGGUAUAGAGGUUUGUGUACAUUCAGGGUUUUUUUUUUUCUGUAAGUAUUGAUGGUUCUGUAAAAGGAAAAUAAAAUCUUGGGGCCCCAAAAUUACUAAGCUAAAGGGAAAAGUCAAGCUGGGAACUGCUUAGGGUAAACCUGCCUCCCAUCUGUUCAGAGUCGCCCCUCUGCUCACUGAGAUAAACACAUGUCUGAUUCCCUCAUUUGGAAAGGCUAAUCGGAAACUCAAAAGAAUGCAACCAUUUGUCUCUCAUCUAUCUGUGACCUGGAAGCCCCCUCCUUGCUUCGAGUUGUCCCGCCUUUCCAGACGGAAUCAAUCUUUAGCUUACAUAUGUUGAUCACUGUCUCAUGUCCCCUUAAAAUGUAUAAAACCAAGUUGUGCUCUGACCACCAAAGUUGUGCUGAGAAGUGACACCAAAGAACAUGGUGGCAUAAGAACUCCAAGGACCCCUCCCCUCCACAGCGGCAAUGUGCUUGUUGAAACACCAGUAUAAAAAAACUCGAUGAGAGCUGUGAUUGGAUUUAGUGUUGAUAUAUUUUUUGUAAAUUGUGGUAAAACAUGCAUACUAUAUAAUUUACCUUCUAACCAUUUUUUCAGUGUACAAUUUGGUGGCAGUAAGCACAUUUACAAUGUUGUGUAACCACCGCCAAUAUCCAUUUCCAGAACAUUUUCAUCAUCCCAAACAGAAACUGUACCCAUUAAACCAUAACUGCCCAUUCUCCCUACCCCCAGCCCCUGGUAAUCUCUAUUCUAUUUUCUGUUUCUAUGAAUUUGCUUAUUCUAGCUACUUUAUAUAAGUAAAAUAUCAUAUUUGUUUUUAUUUCUGGCUUAUUUCACUUAUAGUGUUUUCAAGGCUCAUCCAAUUAGAAUUUCAUUCACUUUUAAGGCUGAAUAAUAUUCCAUGCUUAUGUGCACCGUGGGUUGUUUAUCCAGUCAUCCUCUGAUGGACACUCGGUUGCUUCCACCUUUUGGAUAUUGGGUAUAGUGCUGCUAUGGGCCUGAGUGUACACAUAUCUGGGUGAGUUCCUGCUUUCAGUGCUUUUGGGUAUGCCCAAAAGUGGAAUUGUUGGCUCAUAUAGUAAUUCUAUUUUUACUUUCUUGAGGAAUCACUAUUCUGUUUUCCAUGGUGGCUGCACCACUGUAUACUCUCACCAGCAGUGUACAAGUGUUCCAGUUUCUCCAUAUCUUCACCAACACUUGGCCUAGUGAAGUUUACCAUAUUUUUAUGUCCUUAUUGGCAUUCCUUUUUUUUUUUUUUUUGUGAAACAGAGUCUUGCUCUGUUGCCAGGCUGGAGUGCAGUGGCACAAUCUCGGCUCGCUGUAACCUCCACUUCCCAGGUUCAAGUGAUUCUCCUACCUCAGCCUCCUGAGUAGCUGGGACUACAGGUACCUGCCACCAUGCCCAACUAAUAUUUGUAUUUUUUUGGUACAGACGGGGUUUCACCAUGUUGGCCGGGAUGGUCUUGAUCUCUUGACCUCGUGAUCCGCCCACCUCGGCCUCCCAAAGUACUGGGAUUACAGGCAUGAGCCACCAUGCCUGACCAGCAUUCCUUAUUUUUAUGUCCUUAUUGUAUAUCUUCUUUGGAGAAUUGUCUAUUCAUGUCUUUUACUUAUUUUUGAAUGAGAUUGUUUUGCUAUUGUUGAAUUGUAGUUCUUUACAUAUUCUGGAUAUUAAUUCUUUAUCAGAUAUGUGAUUGGCAAAUAUUUCCUCCUGGUCUGUGCAUUUUCUUUUGAUUCUCUUAAUAGUGUCCUUUGAUGCAAAAAAGUUUUUAAAUUUUGAUGCAUUCUAAUUUGUCAUUUUUCUUAUAUUACUUGUACUAUUGGUCACCAGCCAAGAAACCACUACCAAUUCUAAUGUCCAUAAGAUUUUCCUCAGUAUUUUCUUGAGGGUUUUACAGGUUCAAUUCUUAAGAUUAGUUCUUUGAGUCAUUCUGACUUAAUUUUUGAAAAGGGUGUAAUGGAAGGACAUGAAUUUUUUCCAGCAUCAUUCUUUUGCAUGUUGAUAUCCAGGUUUCCAGCACCAUUUGUUGAUGCACCAUCUGUUGCAGUGGGGCUGACACAUUUGUAAGAUGCAGUGAGCAUUAAUACAUGGGAGCACCAUGCAUUUAUUUACCUGUCUUUACUUCACAGUUGUUUUGAGAAGGCUUUCACUGACAGACUCAACAGAAAUGAAUAUAUAUGACUUCUUAUAAAAUCAUAUUCAAGUAAAAUUAUAAAUUUUAAAAUGUUAAGACUGGAGCAAGACUGGAACAUCACUAGACAAGCUGAAACAUAGGCUGAAAUGAAGGGUUAUGUUUACCUUGCUACAAAUUCUGUUGGCCCACAAUCUCUUAUGCUUAUUGCUUAAGAGAGCCACAGAGUGGGGUGAUAGCUCACAUAACCAGUCCCUGGUUUUCUGCUUCAGAAAGAAGUUUAAAUAUUCUGCUUAGACAGAGUAAGGAAAUUAACUGAAAGAUGUCUAAUGUGAAGUUGGCAUCUACAAAGUGAAGGAGUGAGUAGUAAGUGUAAACAUCAGGAAUCCCAGGAGAUUCUAUCUUUUUGCACGGAAAUGGCCUCACUAUGCACUGCUGAAGGGAGAAGGUCCCUUCAGGGGACCUUCAUGAUGAAGAAGAACACAAUAUGAUAUAGGAAUUUUCUGCUGCAGCCCUAAACUGAAUUGUCCUUCUCUCUAACUACAGGUCUCACAAAGUUUUAUAGCUUCAAUGAUUUCACCUGGGCCAAGAUUUUGGUUUUUUUUGAUGUUAUUUGUUUGAACUGCUGCCUGGGGCUUAGAAAAGUGACUUGGAUAUUUUGUCAAAAUGGAUUUUCUUUGAUGGAAUGUGAAAUCCGUAAACACUCUGCUUUCCUGCUGUAUCCCCAGAGCAGGUUGAGUACCUUGCACUUCUUCUCAGCACUUCGCUAGAAGUGGUAGAAGAUUUGGAGUUAGGGCCUCCCUCAAUCCCUACCCUUUCUUUAAUUCAGAGGAUCACAAACUGUUGGGAGAAGAGUGGUAUCUUGGGCCUCUAGCUGAUCUGAUGAAUAUUAAUAUCCAAUGUCCUGUAGUGAAGUCAUGUGUGCGUGUAACAUCACUUCUUCACGCAGUGUCAUAGGAAAGUGGGUUCCUGGACCCCAGGUUAAGAGCCUAAGCACUAAAGGCACAGAGCUAGAGCUCUAGGAGGGGAGGGAUGGCUGGGGUGGAACCUCGUCUUGUCAUUUAGUCCUGGGGCCUUUUCACUCCUUACAUGGUGGGUGGUGGGCGUCUGGCAGGUGCCGAUGUUGAUGGAGUCAAGGGAGGGAACUAGCCGGGACAGGGAAAAACAGGGUUGGAGAGAUAAUUAAGGUGGACGUUAUUUUUUCUGAGCGUAAGUCGUGGCUGGAAAUCUGGAGAGCCUGAAAGAGUAUCCCCCUACCCAAACCUGUUUUUUCCUUUUCCCUCAAGCCUCAUUUGGCCACAGGCCCAGUGUCAACACCAGGGGGCGCCACAGACCAUGAAGGCACCGUGCAGCUGGGAUUGUUUGUGGUCGGCUACUGGGUCCCUGACUUAACCAGGGGAGCCAAGACCCUGUAGCCAAGUGGCCUGGAUUCAACCUGCAGCUCAGGUCUUACUGACACUUCUCCCCCUGGUGCCUCAGUUUCUUAAUCUGUGAAAUGGUGAGGACAUUACAGCAUUUACCUCUGGGGCGGGUUUCUCAACAGCAGCACUAUUAACAAUUUGGGACAGAGAAUCUUGUGGAGUGGUCUGUCCUGUGCAUUGUGGGAGGUUUGCCAGCAACACCCCACUCACCCCCUCCCACCAAUCCCCAUGUGACAACCGAAAAUGUCCCAGGAUUUUUAGGUCUCCCUUGGGUCUAGAAGCUGCACUUAGGCAUUUUCCCACCUGACACUUGAGUUCAUCUCUGCUUUGGUCCACAUAAGGCCACUUUAAAAAAAUGUUGUUUCUUUAAAGAUUCUAACCAUCUUUUAAACAAAUCCAUUUUCUUCCUCUAUUUCUGCAUUCAGUUAAUCCUUCCAAACCCUUUGUUUAGUAUAUCUUGAAAUGUAUCAAUUCCUGUUCUAGUAAUUAACAUAUGUGACUUGCAUGAUAUCUGCUAUGACCCUUAGUAGAGCUCUGAUUCCUUUAGCACAGGGAAUGUGUUCUCGAUUCUGCUCUGGAUGAUGUAAAUCAAUUUAUUUUACUUUACUUGUCUGGGAUGUUGCUCCUCAUCUGUAAGAUGUAAAUGUGGAUAUGGCUUGGAUUACUAAGUGGUUUUAUUUCUUAAUUCACCUGACAUUUGUUGUGUGCCUGCUGCAAGUCAAAUACAUGGCAUGGUAUUGUUUCCUUGUUCACACCACAGCAAAUGAGAAAAUGAGACAUUAUAGCCAGGUGUGGCGGCACAGGCUUGUGGUCCUAGCUACUCGGAAGGCUGAGGCAGGAGAAUUGCUCCAGCCCAGGAGUUUGAGGUUACAGUAAGGUAUGAUAUCACCAUUGCAUUUCAACCUGGGCAACAGACCCUGUCUCUGAAAAAAGGGAAAAAGACCUUGUGAGCUGUCUACGUGUACUCUAUGUCUCAGGAGACUCAUAUCCUGUAAUUUUUCUAAAUGGCGUCUCCAUGUGGUCUUUCAUGAAUGUUUGUCUGGUAUUCUCUAUCCUUUUACUUUCAACUUUUCUUUACCUUCUACUGAAAUUAUGUCUUUUGUAAACAGCCCAUGAUUAUUUAUUUAGUUAUUUAUUUUUACCCCCCUGCACUAUUUGUCUUGUAAUUGGAGUGUCUGAGUCCAUUAUGUUUAAUGUAAUUAUUGACCUCAUUGGGUUUAAGUCUGUCCAUUGUCAUUUGCUGCCUUCUAAUAUUAUCUCUUUCUUGCUCAACUAUUUUUCUUAUGUUACCUUCUUUAGAUGAAUAAAAACCUUUGCAUUAUUGUAGUCUUCUAAGUGUCCUAAUUACACAUUCUCUUAUUAUUUCUUUAAUUAUCUGAGAAAGCAUAAUGAUCUGUGACUUAUUAUAACCAAUAGCAGACCACAACUUCCCUGACUUUCACCUACCUGUGCCCACAGCCCAGGGGAGA